GUGAGGCGCGUCUAGGGUUCCGCCGGCAUGCCGGGUCUGGUCCGAGAGACGCAGGCGGCCGGCACCGACGCAUGACCGUUCCACGGCGGGACAAAAGCCCGGGAGAC
RNAcentral lists this small RNA (107 nucleotides) under Mycolicibacterium tusciae. RNAcentral's name for it is "Mycobacterium tusciae Guanidine-I sequence". It matches the Rfam family "Guanidine-I riboswitch aptamer". Rfam says of the family: This family represents a conserved RNA structure found upstream of the ykkC and yxkD genes in Bacillus subtilis and related genes in other bacteria. The function of this family is unclear although it has been suggested that it may function to switch on efflux pumps and detoxification systems in response to harmful environmental molecules. Nelson showed that this riboswitch senses and responds to guanidine and it was renamed Guanidine-I riboswitch. The record is from RNAcentral. Lineage: Bacteria; Bacillati; Actinomycetota; Actinomycetes; Mycobacteriales; Mycobacteriaceae.